Gallus gallus (chicken) is the source of this 517-nucleotide long non-coding RNA. Lineage: Eukaryota; Metazoa; Chordata; Aves; Galliformes; Phasianidae. The record is from Ensembl.
GUCCCGAGCACGUGGCGAUCGGAUCACGCGCUUUCGUAGGGCUCUGCGAUUGUGUGAGCUCAGAGCUCAUUGUGCCAUCAGUUCAGAGGUCCCUGGAUACCCAGGAAGGGUGUCAAAUAAGCACCGGUUUGAUCUCUUUACACCAUGGUACCAUAGGUACACCGUCUGUGUCUACAGGCGCACACACCACGCACAGGCGCACACACACCACGCACAGGAACACACACAUCAGGCACAGGCGCGCACACACCACGCACAGGCGCGCACACCACGCACAGGCGCACACACAUCACGCACAGGCGCACACACACCACGCACAGGCGUACACACAUCACGCACAGGCGCACACACCACGCACAGGCGUACACACAUCACGCACAGGCACACACACACCACGCACAGGCGCACACACCACGCACAGGCACACACACACCACGCACAGGCACACACACACCACGCACAGGCGCACACACACCACGCACAGGCACACACACACCACGCACAGGCGCACACGCGC